Molecule: ribosomal RNA, 187 nt
Filed under: uncultured bacterium
Lineage: Bacteria
Description: partial 16S ribosomal RNA
Rfam family: Bacterial small subunit ribosomal RNA
Source: RNAcentral
GACUACACGAAGCUGGAAUCGCUAGUAAUCGCGAAUCAGAAUGUCGCGGUGAAUACGUUCCCGGGUCUUGUACACACCGCCCGUCACACCAUGGGAGUCGGGAAUGCCCGAAGUCAGUGACCCAACCUAUAGGAGGGAGCUGCCGAAGGCAGGUCUGAUAACUGGGGUGAAGUCGUAACAAGGUACC